CGCAGCUGUUGCUCGUUAUUGGUGUGGCAGGGUAUAAAUGCAUUCUGCCUAAACAGAGAUUUCCCGCAUUGAGUAAAGCGAGGUCACGGAAAGACCACGAUUAUUCUCUGCAGGGGGAGCCGAUGACUGUAGAAUUCUGCCUUUUGUCUGCAAUGGCAGUGCGAGAGGAGUAAGGAAAUUGGCGUCCCUCAACAGUUGCUCCCUUCUACAUUCCAGCUGUGCCACGGAGUGGAAGGUGAUAUAAUUCCCCAAGAACAACACAACAUAAUAAACCGCCUGUCAACUGUCACUCUAAUAGAACACACCUCUGUCAUGUCCUCCUGUCCAGCACUGGCGAUGUGCAGUAAGGUGAUGGAAAUUAGAACAUGGGAUUUUGCCACUCAGACCCACACAUGAAAAGGACCCCGCGAUUCAUUCUCUCGGGUUGGGUGGUCCUUCACGUCGAAGCUGAAAUCGUGAGGUCAGAGUGGAAAGUGAUGCUCGUCCACGUCAGUCCGAUGGAUUUAGGGCUCUGCGAGCCAAUACGUAUGCUGCGUCCCUCCAACUUAAGCCCAGCGGUUUGACGUAACUGCAGUAAUUUUCACUUUGAGGAUUAAAACCUUGUCUAACGUCCGUGACUCUCAGAUUCAUUUUCUCAGUCCCGGCUUCAUGGAUGCACUGCAGUGUUGCCGAUCGUAACAAACUGCCUACCCACAAAAUUAAAUCUGGGCGGCUCCCUGAUUCAUUGCAAUUGCUUUCCCAUUCAAAGCCAAGAGCCAUCCACACUCCCCUGUGCAUACUGUUUGUCACAUUGCCUAGGCAAGUUAUCUCCGCUUUAAAGCUGUUCACA
Long non-coding RNA from Anguilla rostrata (American eel), 829 nucleotides. RefSeq lists it as uncharacterized. The record is from RefSeq and is a predicted model, not a curated record. NCBI's taxonomy places the organism in Eukaryota, Metazoa, Chordata, Actinopteri, Anguilliformes, Anguillidae. The transcript has 3 exons.